UACGUAGGGCGCAAGCGUUGUCCGGAAUUAUUGGGCGUAAAGAGCUCGUAGGCGGCCUGUUACGUCUGCUGUGAAAUCCCGGGGCUUAACCCCGGGCGUGCAGUGGAUACGGGCAGGCUGGAGGUAGGUAGGGGAGAAUGGAAUUCCCGGUGUAGCGGUGAAAUGCGCAGAUAUCGGGAGGAACACCGGUGGCGAAGGCGGUUCUCUGGGCCUUACCUGACGCUGAGGAGCGAAAGCGUGGGGAGCGAACAGG
This 253-nucleotide ribosomal RNA is filed under the name uncultured bacterium. Its description in RNAcentral is "partial 16S ribosomal RNA". It matches the Rfam family "Bacterial small subunit ribosomal RNA", at positions 524 to 776 of the family's 1533-position model. The record is from RNAcentral.